ACCUACGGGGGGCAGCAGUAGGGAAUCUUCUACAAUGGGCGAAAGCCUGAUGGAGCAACGCCGCGUGGGUGAAGAAGGUCUUCGGAUCGUAAAACCCUGUUGUUAGAGAAGAAAGUGCGUGAGAGUAACUGUUCACGUUUCGACGGUAUCUAACCAGAAAGCCACGGCUAACUACGUGCCAGCAGCCGCGGUAAUACGUAGGUGGCAAGCGUUAUCCGGAUUUAUUGGGCGUAAAGGGAACGCAGGCGGUCUUUUAAGUCUGAUGUGAAAGCCUUCGGCUUAACCGGAGUAGUGCAUUGGAAACU
Molecule: ribosomal RNA, 305 nt
Filed under: uncultured bacterium
Lineage: Bacteria
Description: bacterial SSU rRNA
Rfam family: Bacterial small subunit ribosomal RNA
Source: RNAcentral